UUUCUACCAGACAGAUACAACAGACAGAAAUAACCUCAAGAGCACAGACACUAGUGAAUAAUUAGGAAGUGGUGAAGUUUAUUUGCCUUUGUCUUUAAUAUAAUCUAUUUAACUAUGUUUAUAUAACUUAAUUGUUAAUAAUGUCUGUAAUAACCGGCCCACAAAUUUCCUGAAAGUGUGACAAUCUGCUCUCAUACGCUGCUGGACCAGUUCCAGCACGCCACUGUUCCUGCCCCAGUUGUGGGAUCUGCUCUAACCUCCAGCUGCCCCACGCCUCAGCAUACAGUCACAGCGAAGGCAUGGUGGGCAAACUUCUGAGUUACAUGGCCACAGCGGUUUUUUGUUUGCUUGUUUGUUUUUGUAUGUUUGUUUGUUUAGAGACAGUUUGCUCUGUCCCCCAGGCUGGAGUGCAGUGGCGUAAUCGUGGCUCACUGCAGCCUCAAACUCCUGGGAUCAAGAGAUCUUCCCACCUCAGCUUCCCAAGGGGCUGGGACUACAGGCACAUACCAACACACCCAGUUAAUGUUUUUAAUUUUUUUUUAAGACAGAGUCUCACUCUGUCGCCCAGGCUGGAGUGCAGUGGCACGAUCUCUGCUCACUGCAAGCUCCGCCUCCCAGGUUCAUGCCAUUCUCCUGCCUCAGCCUCCCAGCUAGCUGGGACUACAGGUGCCCAUCACCACGCCUGGCUAAUUUUUUGUAUUUUUAGUAGAGACGGGGAUUCACCAUGUUAGCUAGAAUAGUCACGAUCUCCUGACCUCAUGAUCCGCCCGCCUCGGCCUCCCAAAGUGCUGGGAUUACAGGCGUGAGCCACCGUGCCCAGCCAAUUUUUUAAAAUUUUUUGAGGCCAGGAACAGCAGCUCCUGCCUGUAAUCCCAGCACUUUGGGAGGCCGAAGCAGGAGGAUCUCCUGAGCCUAGGAGUUCAAGACCUGCCUGGGCGAUAUAGGGAGACCCCAUUUCUACAAAAAAUUUAAAAAUUAGCAGGGUGUGGUGGUGCGUGCCUGUAGUCCCAGCUACUCGGGAGGCUGGGGUGGGAGGAUUACCUGAACUGGGAGGUGAAGGUUUCAGUGAGCUGAGAUCACACCACUGCACUCCAAUCUAGGUGAGAGACCUUGCUUCAAAAAAAAAAUUGAGCUCCUGGGCUCAAGCAAUCCUCCUGCCUUGGCCUCCCAAAGCACUGGGACUUUUACAGGCACCACCAGUUAUUACAGAACUCAAAAGCAACUGUGCACUGGACCACUCUGUAUUGUGUUCGGUGAGGCCAUGCCCGCGUAUAGAUACAGGAAUGCUGAGGAACAGCACUGAAGAGUGACCUAAACAGCAAUCACCAACUGCUGGUGUUUGGCUUUGUUCCUCAUAUGAAAGGAUUUGAAGCCCAGGGAGUAGGCUGGUUGAAUGAAAAAUAUUUGCUUGACACGAUAGUUGCUAUUUCUAGAUGAAUUCAGGGAACUAUGGGAGCCUCUCACAAGCAUGAAAAAUCCAAGUAUUCAGAUGGAAGUUGGGGCUCUUAUUUUCCAGCUUGGGCCUGUACCAGGGCUACAAGGACAUACAAUGCUAAAUCAAUUAAAAACCAAAAUCUACUCAAAACCAUUUAUUUCAAAAAAGUUCUGGAGAUGGAUGGUGGCGAUGGUUACACAGCAAUGUGAAUGUGCUUAAUGUCACUGAACUGUACGCUUAAAAAUGGUUAGGAUGGUAAAGUUUUUUUUUUUUUUCCUUAGGGGGAUCCUUUAUUUCAUUCACUUCCUCCUUACAAGGUGAAAUUUCAAUCUGUACAGGUUGUGUCUGCCAGUUCAGUCCACAGCUCAGAGUAUCACCUUGUCCUCAUUCCAUGGUAUAAGCUGUUGUGGGGGGACAGGUCUGAGGGUCGUGGAUUCACUGGACUGGAUGGGACAUGAUCCAGAACUCCACUCCGUUUGGCUUCCCAAGGAUCCCACCACCUCAUUCUAAUCAGUGAUCAUUGAGGAAAUGCAUUGUAUUCCUAUUCACUAUUUCAAAGAUCAGGCCUACCUCAUUGGCAUAUUAAGAAAGUUUUCUCAAGUAUAUUUAGUGUUUAUCAUUUUACUAUAGUUCUUCAAAUGUCUGACAUUCAUCCUUUCCCUACCUCUACAUUCCUUUCUUUUUCACAUUAUCUUUCUUGAUUGCUUUUUAAUAGAAAAACAAACAAAGACAUGGAUUUACUGUGCAUAUUAGCAGAUCCAUACUGGAAAAUGCAUGGAGGUUUCAUAUACACCACUUACAGGUUUCCAAAGCCACAAUUUCCUUCAUAUGUUCAAACUCUUCAGGAUGCAGAAAGGCAGUGAACUCCUCCGGAGUAGCUGUCAGGUCACCAUUGAGGUCUGCAGCUUUGAAUCUUCUCUCAUCACGUGGCAGCAUCUUUUUAAAGGUGUGAUGAUCUGAAGAAUCAUGAAACUCUGCGGGGUUUCCUAGGUUUUCAGCUCCUCAGUAGUGACAAAGCCAUACCCAUCAUUGUCGAUUCGAUCAACAAUCUUCCCUAGCCUCUCCUUGCUCUCGUCCGGGGUGAGCUCGUCGAAGUUCUUGGAGUCCUCCUUGCCCAGGAAGGCCUCGUGGUCGUACUGGAAGCUCUGGUUGUCCUCAGGGGGCCGCUCGCCCAGCUCCGAGUCGGGCCGCACCACGCGCUCUUUGCGCACCGUGGGCUUGGCCCGCAGAACCCGCGGCGCCAGCACCAGCGCCAGCAGCAGCCCCAGGGCUAACCCCAGGCGGCCACCGCGCGCCAUCGUCCCGAGGAGAGGGCGGCCGGGAGGGAGACGCUGAGCGAGCGACAACAGCGGCAGCUCGGGAAUGGGGGCUCGGAGCGCGGCGGCCAAGUUUUAUGUUAUGUAUAUUUUACAAGUAAAAAAAUUUUUUCACCUCAGCCUGAACUGAACACUAGCUGACAGACGUUUUGAUUUCUUUGACCAUCACGGAAUCGUGGCCAAGCGCGGUGGCUCACAUCUGUAAUCCCAACACUUUGGGAGGUCAAGAUGGGCGGAUUGCUUGAAUCCAGGUGUUUGAGAUCAGCCUGGGCAACAUGACAAAACCCUGUUUCUAGUAAAAAUACAAAAAUUAACCAGG
This is a long non-coding RNA of Homo sapiens (human), 3070 nucleotides long. Ensembl annotates it as TPT1 antisense RNA 1. Its record names the gene TPT1-AS1. Lineage: Eukaryota; Metazoa; Chordata; Mammalia; Primates; Hominidae. The record is from Ensembl.